UAAUUGAAGAGUUUGAUCAUGGCUCAGAUUGAACGCUGGCGGCAGGCCUAACACAUGCAAGUCGAGCGGCAGCGACAUCAACAAUCCUUCGGGUGCGAUGAUGGGCGGCGAGCGGCGGACGGGUGAGUAAUGCCUGGGAACAUGCCUUAGUGUGGGGGAUAACCAUUGGAAACGAUGGCUAAUACCGCAUAAUCUCCUUUCUUUUACGAGAUGGGAGCAAAGCGGGGGACCUUCGGGCCUCGCGCGCUAAGAUUGGCCCAGGUGGGAUUAGCUAGUAGGUGGGGUAACGGCUCACCUAGGCAACGAUCCCUAGCUGGUCUGAGAGGAUGAUCAGCCACACUGGAACUGAGACACGGUCCAGACUCCUACGGGAGGCAGCAGUGGGG
RNAcentral lists this ribosomal RNA (386 nucleotides) under Photobacterium sp. 1_MG-2023. Its description in RNAcentral is "bacterial SSU rRNA". It matches the Rfam family "Bacterial small subunit ribosomal RNA", at positions 1 to 359 of the family's 1533-position model. The record is from RNAcentral. Lineage: Bacteria; Pseudomonadati; Pseudomonadota; Gammaproteobacteria; Vibrionales; Vibrionaceae.